Molecule: long non-coding RNA, 3099 nt
Filed under: Marmota monax (woodchuck)
Lineage: Eukaryota; Metazoa; Chordata; Mammalia; Rodentia; Sciuridae
Source: RNAcentral
CUGGAGUGUGAGAGGGGUAUCAUUGGAGAGGGCUCCUCUGGUGGCAUCUGUUGUAAACCACUGGGAAUUCUGAAGCUCUAGAAAGGUCCCUGAUGGGAUCUGACACUCCUGCCAAAAGCAAGAGUGUCUCUAGACCUCCAGAUGGGAUUUGGCCUAGGAGUGUAGGAAAAGACUUCUCCCACCCCAGAUUUCCAUGUCUGCAGAAACUGUUCAAGACCUCUAACUACAACUUUGCUUUCUCCUCUUCACUGCUUUUAAUUCAGACCUGCUCCUAAGUAUCCACACCACGUGCCCAGACCCACCCACAGCGCCUAUCCUCAGUGAGGAGCAAGCUGACACCUUCGUUCAACAGUGAAGACAGAAGUUUGCACUAUCUUUCAACUCCACGUGGAGUGACUUUUUGUACCAACUUUUAGAAUUUUUUUUUAAUAUGUUUAAAACACCAUUAUUUCAAGAACUUUGAGCUACUGCCGUCGGUGCUGUGCUAUGGUGCUCUGUGUAUUCGCUCAGGUACUUGUAAAUUAUUAAUUUAUGCAGAAUGUUUAUUGCAGUGCAGUGCACUGUACUAGGCAUUUUUACCAUCACUGAGUUUUCCAUGGAAGGAAGGCUUGUUGUGCUUUUAAUAUUUUAGUGAACUUGAAAUAUCCUGCUUGAUGGGAUUCUGGACCAGAUGUUUACUUUCUGAUCAGGCUUUAUUAGAAAGCAGUUGCUAAUUCCCCACGGCUGUGUUAAUGGUACCAGACACAACUCAGGACCCCUGGUAGAACCUUGAGUGGUUUUCUGAAACUCCUAGGCCAGGGCUGCACUGGGCCUUCAGUGAGGCCCUCGGUGCCUACACGCUGACAAGCCCCUAGCAGCUGGACUUUGGAGCAGUGAAUGACCUGGUUUGGGGCCAGGAAGCUUUGGAGAGAACCUGGGUUGCAGACAGGAAUUUUGAGGUGUGGCCACACCAGGACAGAGCCUGGAACACUAGGCCAGGCAGAAACUUGACCUUGAGCUGAGCCGCCAUGGGUCCCUUUGGAAAGCAAACAAGGAAGAAGUCUGCAGGAUUGCUCAAGGUUUUCUUUAUAGAAACAUCAAGAACUUCUUUCUCUGGCUGCUCUUUAUGCAGUUCUGGCAUCAGCACAUUAUUUAGAUUGGGAACGGUGGUGUUUCUACAAGAAGGCCACCGCCCCAGCACUGCAAACCACCAUCUCCCUGUGCUGUUUGGAGCUAAGCAAAUUACCACCUUGUCUUCUCAACUGUAAUAUGAUGACCCUGUGUUCAGACAGAUAGAUGAGGCUUUCCAUGGGACCAUAAUUCUUUUCAGAUGUGAACUAGUAACCAGAUCUAGUCAAUCAAUUCUUUAGAUAAAAAUCUCCUUUUACUGCAAGGUUCAACUUAUUAAAAAUUAGGCAGAAACAACUACUAAAUGGAAUGCCUUGCUCAUUGGCACAGACUGUCUGGGCUGCCUUAUUAGUACGUAGUGGACAAAGAACCACAAGUGACCAUGAAGUUCUCUCUAGGGCACCCUAUUUUCUCAGCUAGGCAGCUGGAAUCUUAAACAUUUGCAACCUACCUGUAGAGCAUCACAAGGUAUGAUCAGAAAACCAAUUUCCUAACCCUGUAUUUUCACCAAAGGCCAGCUGGGGCAAGCAGCCCCUCCAAACAUUUCACUCUCCCAGUGUCUCAUUUCCUAGGAUGUUUAAGAUGCCUGGAUCUAAUAGCAUGAAAAAUACUCAGAUAAGGCAAAAAUGCCAUUCUGGCCCUCACUGUCUUCUGUGAGAUCAUGAAUGACUAGUUUUCACAUUAGAAGGCAAUUGACAGCAGUUCCGUAAUUCACUGAGUGUUUCAUGAUGAGACUUCUUUUAGGGUCAUUUCAAUGGUUUUCCUAUGCCUUGAAGCAGAAAGAAAAAUACAUACCAGGAAUCUUGGUUUGCCUUCCAGAAAACGAAACUACAUUUAACUGUGCCAAUGUUCUCCCCAUAUAUCUAGGCAACGUGGUAUUCAUGACUAUGAAUAAAUAAAUGUCACAAACACACAAAAGGUAACCCAACUCAAAGACAUUCCAACUCUUGCAGCAUGCAUAUGUUUUAAUAAACAGAUGCAAUUAUUUUCUUUAAAAAGUAAAGCCAUGUUAGAUGAUAUUACUGUGGAUGAGAUACAUACAGGAUUAUUGUAACUAACUGAUGUUACAUUUAGUAAUUGUGUCAAGGCCAAAACACACACUAUUGAAAAGUUUACAGAAUUUCCUGGUGUGGACAUUGCUGCCUUCUCGCCCACGCCUCAGCUCCGGCACUUUCACCCUCCUCCUACUACACGGAGCAGGGAGGAUGGGAACUGCCUUUUCUGUUUUUGUUCUUUCUGAACUGUAAUUACUGUGCUUUUGUUCCAGAGAACCAGGAAGAGUUUGGUAUUAAAGGAGGUUAAAACUGAUCUUCUGCCAUGUCAUCAAUGGCCACUUUGUGGUUAUGGCUGAUGACACAAUUUUAUCUCAAUACUAAUUGCUUUUAUAGAGCCAUGCAAAUUAUUUCUGAAUAAGAAUAUAUUUAAGCCUUAUAAUACACAGAUAAUAUUAUUAAAGGAAUACUUUCAAAAUUCAAUAUUUAUCAAAUAAAGCAUAUUUAGCAAUAACUUCCAUUUUAAUGUAACUUAGGAACCAAUAACUAGGGUUGUUUUUUUCUUGGUGGGAAGGGUUUUCUCUCACUUUUUAUAAACAAUGGGAACAAAAAUCAGUACUUCUAUUUUAGUGGCAAUAUGACUAUUCUUUAAUAUUUCUAAAAUACUUCACAGGGACAAAUAACAGUUAUUGUGAGUUUUAUAAAACCAUUACUGAGAAAGUUCAGUGCCUAAACUCAAAAGCAGGCUGGAAGGCUACUCACCUUUCUUCCUACAUCCAGCCAGGGCUGCAGGUUACAGGGCCCCACUCCACGGAGAGGUGCAUGGCCAACCUUCCAGGCAUUCCAUUUAUCUGCUAAAAUGUUCUUGUUUUCCCAAUACAUUGAACCAGACUGUGGCAACCAAGAGAAACAAUGCCUAGUGUUGUCCAUUGUCCCAGUGGGACUUCCCCAGCGUACACAUAUAGAUNGGACAGUCUGGCCCAGCUUCCCUUGGCUGGGA